AAAAUGUCACUAGUGGCAGUAUCAUAGCCGAUGAGGUUUAUCCGAGGUGCAAUUAUUGCUAAUUGAAAACUUUUCCCAAUACCCCACCAUGACUACUUGAAAUAUAGUCAGCACUGGCAAUUUUUAAGUCGCUGCAGAGA
Molecule: small nuclear RNA, 140 nt
Organism: Cebus imitator (Panamanian white-faced capuchin)
Lineage: Eukaryota; Metazoa; Chordata; Mammalia; Primates; Cebidae
Gene: U4
Rfam family: U4 spliceosomal RNA
About the family: U4 small nuclear RNA (U4 snRNA) is a component of the major U2-dependent spliceosome. The structure of U4 snRNA from yeast and human has been reported.
Source: Ensembl